UAUUCUUUCAUUUUUCUGAACCAAGAAGACAGGAGAGGGUUGGACUGCUUUUCCAUUAACAGGAAUUCUUGAGUAAUCCUGAGAUCUCUGAAGCAAGAGUUGAUGGAGACAAGAGGCCUCCCUCCCUAGAUGAUUUCUAUGGCAAAAGUGCAGUUGCGCACACACCACUUCUUGUACCCUGCUGCUAAGUCACAAAAUGGUAAUGGGGGUUGUAUCUGAAGCAUAUAAGAACGGCUUUGUUUUAAAAGUUAAAGAUUGUAUCAUUAGCAUUUCCAGAACAGUAAGAUUGUUCAGGCUAGGGAAUGCAUAUAAUCUGCCACUAAAUUCAUCCCAUCCCCUCCCCUCUCCGUGCAAAACCUCAUCUGCACUGGUUUAACUAAAAGUGGAUUUUGAGAGAAAGAGUGUAUGUGUGUAUUCAGCUUAAUUGGGUUACAAGUCAAAUGAAGCUAAAUUGAUGUAUGGGGUUUAAACUGAUGUGAAAGUAUCCCUAUAGGGAUUUUGCCACCUUGAUUCAACUACAUUGACUUUCAGUUAAACCAGCGCAGCUUUUAAUAUAGGCAAGGCGUUAGUUACACACAUAGUGAACCAGAACCAAUAGAAAAAUAUAACCUUGAAUUUCACAUGUAUAGUACUUGAUCUUUCUUUCACUUCAGUCAAUUUCCAUGUAUUUUAAUAGGAGAAGGAUCAAGGUCCACAGUGUAAAAAGUCUGUUGAAUUACUUAAACUGUUACAUAUGGCAGGAGGAAAAACCACACAAGCCCCAUAUCUGGGAAACUUUGUAUAAUAGUAAAUCAGAAGUAUAAAUCAAGUAUAAAAUAAAUGUAUUAAUAGAGGUUUUCUGUUCAAGUUGCAGAUAUAACUUAAGUGAUGUGAUAUGAAAGCAGCAAAUACCCCACAUCACAUCCAUUAUUAUUAUUAUUUCAGUCAAAAUAUUGCAGGUACCUGUGCCUGCUGAUCCUCUACUGGUCCGGGGUUGAUUAGCAUAAUCAAUAACUGUGCAAGAACGGCGAUACUGUGGAUCCGGCUGAAAGAUAAGGUGCCAAACAACUUUACACCUACCAACCUGGGCAGAUUUGAAAUGGGGAUUUAGGACUUAAAGGUUCUGUACCAAUCACUUGAGCCAUCCAGUUCUCCAUUAAGUGUUUAUAAAUGCUAAUUGCUAAAGCAAAAUCUACCAAACAAUCUCUCUGGAUCUACAUAUUAUUUGGAUACAUUUGCCACUUUUUACCCAAAAUGCAUGUGUUGUAUUAGGCCUGGAGAAAUGAUCAGGUAAGAAAAGCCUCUCCUGUGGCUGCUGAUGGUUAAUCUCAUCUUCCAUUGCACUCUGAGCUCGACUGGAAUUCCCUCGGGGAUCCUACAUCAAAGUACAGGAAAAUUAACAAUCAAUCAGACUAUUUUUGAUUGUGAUUACUUUAAAGAUAAAAUCUUGGAAUCAGAGUCUAAUCAUCUAUGAGCAUCCUCACAGGAAACAGAAAAUGGUUCCUACUUUCACUGGCUCUGAAAAGCACUCAACUUUGUUCCAGUUUGUUGGUAAAACUCAUGAUCUUAUUUUUGUAUUUCAGCAUAUUAUCUUAUCAUAACUAUGAGGAAGAACUUCUAAGAACAUCAGGAUAAUGUGGAUAACAACAAAAAUAUAAACCAAAAAUAAAAAUACAAUAAAGAAUUCUUGAAUUUGCCAGUGCAA
Molecule: long non-coding RNA, 1684 nt
Organism: Dermochelys coriacea (leatherback sea turtle)
Lineage: Eukaryota; Metazoa; Chordata; Testudines; Dermochelyidae
Exons: 3
Source: RefSeq, a predicted model, not a curated record